UAUAAGGGAUUUUAAUUUUUUGCUUGCAACGUUUGACCACUCGUCUUAUUCAAAAUUUUUUAAAAUUAUUUUUUUUUUGUGAUUUAUUUUAUUAUCCACAGUAUUUUAAGCACAACUUUUCGUUUUUUAUAUUUGCAAAAAAAAUUUGAAUAAGACGAGUGGUCAAACGUUGCAAGUAAAAACUUAAAAUCCCUUAUA
Molecule: microRNA precursor, 198 nt
Filed under: Oryza glumipatula
Lineage: Eukaryota; Viridiplantae; Streptophyta; Magnoliopsida; Poales; Poaceae
Description: MIR812 microRNA precursor family
Rfam family: MIR812 microRNA precursor family
Source: Rfam by way of RNAcentral